Long non-coding RNA from Dermacentor andersoni, 672 nucleotides. RefSeq lists it as uncharacterized. The record is from RefSeq and is a predicted model, not a curated record. NCBI's taxonomy places the organism in Eukaryota, Metazoa, Arthropoda, Arachnida, Ixodida, Ixodidae.
CAAACUUUCUCUUACGAUUACCGAAGCAUUUUCUUUUACAUAAAAACAGGGCAAAAUUAUCAUUGCUAAUUAGAUAUUGUGCUCUUUGUUAGUAAGUUUAUUGUUUCUUCGCCAUUAUAAACGCAAAUAGCGUUCAGCAUCAUCGAUCUUUCACGUGACCUCUGGCCUGGAUUUAAAAUUUUUACCGGUAUUUCCGAGUGCACGGCGGCACGGAUUCAUUCGUUCGUACACUCAAGACUGCUUUGUUUCUAAAACUAGUUUCUUGCGCUUCGAUGUCUCGCGUUAUUUAACUUGGGGUGAAGUUACGUGUUUGCAAGCGGACAUGUAAGCCCGGCAGUUGGGUUUCGGUCGUGAGCCAUUCGGAACAGGUCUGCAUCGAAACGGGAGCUGGAUUUUGCUGCGGCUGACAACGGCAAUAACGACAUGCAGUAAUGAAGACGGCACCAGUAUAAAGCAACACACUCCACGCACUAAACAGAAGCUGCUGCCUGCUACAACAAGGUCAUUGUGUGGACAUUGGCUACUACUACAAGAGUCUAUGCCAAGCACAUCUUGGUCAUCACAGGAGCUCCUAUCUGCGCCAACAGGAAGGGGCUGGAGCCGAAUUUGCAAGGCUUUUACACCAAGAACAAAGAAGCACAUGCAGAAGAAUAUGAAUGAGAUAUCAAGUCU